AUUUAGCCCCGAUAGAGCCGAUAUCCUCGCGUAGUUUACGGAGCGAGAUAAAGGCGAAAGCGGGAAAUGGC
Molecule: small RNA, 71 nt
Filed under: Flavobacterium dankookense
Lineage: Bacteria; Pseudomonadati; Bacteroidota; Flavobacteriia; Flavobacteriales; Flavobacteriaceae
Description: Flavo-1 RNA
Source: RNAcentral